AGUGAACGCUGGCGGUAGGCCUAACACAUGCAAGUCGAACGGCAGCACAGUAAGAGCUUGCUCUUACGGGUGGCGAGUGGCGGACGGGUGAGGAAUACAUCGGAAUCUACUUUUUCGUGGGGGAUAACGUAGGGAAACUUACGCUAAUACCGCAUACGACCUACGGGUGAAAGCAGGGGAUCUUCGGACCUUGCGCGAUUGAAUGAGCCGAUGUCGGAUUAGCUAGUUGGCGAGGUAAAGGCCCACCAAGGCGACGAUCCGUAGCUGGUCUGAGAGGAUGAUCAGCCACACUGGAACUGAGACACGGUCCAGACUCCUACGGGAGGCAGCAGUGGGGAAUAUUGGACAAUGGGCGCAAGCCUGAUCCAGCCAUACCGCGUGGGUGAAGAAGGCCUUCGGGUUGUAAAGCCCUUUUGUUGGGAAAGAAAAGCAGCAGGUUAAUACCCCGCUGUUCUGACGGUACCCAAAGAAUAAGCACCGGCUAACCUCGUG
RNAcentral lists this ribosomal RNA (492 nucleotides) under uncultured bacterium. RNAcentral's name for it is "partial 16S ribosomal RNA". It matches the Rfam family "Bacterial small subunit ribosomal RNA", at positions 29 to 507 of the family's 1533-position model. The record is from RNAcentral.